GAUGAACGCUGGCGGCGUGCCUAACACAUGCAAGUCGAGCGAGAAGUAAAGAAAUGAAGCUUCGGUAGAUUUUCAUUAUGGAAAGCGGCGGACGGGUGAGUAACGCGUAGGCAACCUGCCCUGUACAGGGGGAUAGCCACCCGAAAAGGUGAUUAAUACCCCAUGAUGCAAGAGAUACACAUGUAUCACUUGUCAAAGAUUUAUCGGUAUGGGAUGGGCCUGCGUCUGAUUAGCUAGUUGGUAGGGUAACGGCUUACCAAGGCAACGAUCAGUAGCCGACCUGAGAGGGUGAUCGGCCACAUUGGAACUGAGACACGGUCCAAACUCCUACGGGAGGCAGCAGUGGGGAAUAUUGCACAAUGGGCGAAAGCCUGAUGCAGCAACGCCGCGUGAACGAUGAAGGUCUUCGGAUCGUAAAGUUCUGUUGCAGGGGAAGAUAAUGACGGUACCCUGUGAGGAAGCCCCGGCUAACUACGUGCCAGCAGCCGCGGUAAUACGUAGGGGGCUAGCGUUAUCCGGAUUUACUGGGCGUAAAGGGUGCGUAGGUGGUCCUUCAAGUCGGUGGUUAAAGGCUACGGCUCAACCGUAGUAAGCCGCCGAAACUGGAGGACUUGAGUGCAGGAGAGGAAAGUGGAAUUCCCAGUGUAGCGGUGAAAUGCGUAGAUAUUGGGAGGAACACCAGUAGCGAAGGCGGCUUUCUGGACUGCAACUGACACUGAGGCACGAAAGCGUGGGUAGCAAACAGG
RNAcentral lists this ribosomal RNA (746 nucleotides) under uncultured bacterium. RNAcentral's name for it is "bacterial SSU rRNA". It matches the Rfam family "Bacterial small subunit ribosomal RNA", at positions 28 to 776 of the family's 1533-position model. The record is from RNAcentral.